Molecule: long non-coding RNA, 765 nt
Filed under: Gallus gallus (chicken)
Lineage: Eukaryota; Metazoa; Chordata; Aves; Galliformes; Phasianidae
Description: lncRNA (ENSGALG00010007773.1)
Source: RNAcentral
GCCCCAGCGUACACCAACCAGUAUGGCGCUGGAGAGGAACCCCUCCACAGACAACCUCAGUCCUGUCUCGUCCCAUCGCCGCGGCCUGGGGGAGACUGCUUUCUGAUGCGGGAGGAGUCGCUGCCAUUCCUGAUAUCCCUCUGCAACCGGAGGCCUGACGGUGGAGCCCACUCCCACCAACUGGAGCCCCCCCACCUCCCCCCGUGCAAAAUCCUACACAGACAGAAAUCAAACGGUGUUUUUGGAGUCUCUGGCAUGGUCAGGGCACUUGGCUAGGACUGCCGAGUGAUGUUUCCGGGAAACAAUCGAGCAUGGACUGAUAGUCCCUGCAAUUUCACAAGAUGCCAUUGAGUCUUAUUGGAGCCACGCUGAAGUUUGAAGUGGAAUUAGGAAUUCAGCCGGCAGAGGGCAGGGCUGCAUUCGUUCCCAGUGCAAGCCGUGUUUCCCCGUAAGAGUUCAUAGAAAACCAAGACCUUAGCUAUAAAUGAACCACAGCCAGAUGUGAACAUCAUCUAUCCUUCUGUUCCUGAAAAACAAGGAAGACAUCAGAAAAAAAAAAAACCAAAAAACCCCACUCUUUGGGUAACAUGUAAUGAGGAUGGUCAUGAGGGCAGCUGAGCAAACACCAGUUAGGAUCUGAUGGAUACAAACUGAAGCAGUUCUGGGAAACCUUGUCCUCUCUUCACUGCUUCAACUCAAGUGGCAUCAACCUUAGCGUAACAUCAGGGAAUCAGUUUUGCUGAAGCUGAAACUUAGACAAUUUAU